CUACGGGUGGCUGCAGUGAGGAAUAUUGCACAAUGGGGGGAACCCUGAUGCAGCAACGCCGCGUGGAGGAUGACGCACUUCGGUGUGUAAACUCCUUUUAUAUGUCAAGAAAAUGACGGUAGCAUAUGAAUAAGCGCCGGCUAACUCCAUGCCAGCAGCCGCGGUGAAUACGGAGGGCGCAAGCGUUACUCGGAAUCACUGGGCGUAAAGGACGCGUAGGCGGGUUGAAAAGUCAGGUGUGAAAGCCUACAGCUUAACUGUAGAACUGCACUUGAAACUCUCAAUCUAGAGUAUGGGAGGGGCAGAUGGAAUUAGUGGUGUAGGGGUAAAAUCCGUAGAUAUCACUAGGAAUACCUAAAGCGAAGGCGAUCUGCUGGAACAUUACUGACGCUAAGGCGUGAAAGCGUGGGGAGCAAACAGGAUUAGAUACCCGUGUAGUC
RNAcentral lists this ribosomal RNA (440 nucleotides) under uncultured bacterium. Its description in RNAcentral is "partial 16S ribosomal RNA". It matches the Rfam family "Bacterial small subunit ribosomal RNA", at positions 339 to 795 of the family's 1533-position model. The record is from RNAcentral.